Molecule: unclassified non-coding RNA, 3600 nt
Filed under: Hevea brasiliensis (rubber tree)
Lineage: Eukaryota; Viridiplantae; Streptophyta; Magnoliopsida; Malpighiales; Euphorbiaceae
Source: RNAcentral
AAAUUAUCAAGAAUUUAUUUUAAAAAAAGAAAAAGAAAAUAUCUGAAAUCAAUGCCACCCUUUAAGACAUGCAAGAGGCCACGGACCACAUGACUUGAGAAAGAACAAAAAUUUACUAAAUAUCUUUUCAAAAUGACCACUUGGCACUUGGUUAUCAGCUGAAGGCUAAAGAUAAUUUUGCACCGUCCUCUUUGCGUUGGAGAAAGCUGAUGCAAACUUGAUAAAUAAAACAAGAUCAUUCAAAUACAGGAGAAACUGGGCAAACCUUUCCUAUAAUGCUUCCAUUUUCAUACAUAAUCAAUGUUCAAAAUAGUACUGGUGUGCUAGAUAGUUCAGCAUAUCAUCAAUGCUGGUCUUCAGUAACUAAGUGAAGCUAACAACAGAAAGCUAAUAGGAACUUUUGAUCAAAAAACUACACAUACUCCCUUGUUCGCUCCCACCCCUUUCCUAUUCCCUUUUGCCCCUCUCCACUGAGGCCAAUGUCUUAAAAGUUUUUUUUGCUGUAAUGUUGAAACUAAAUAAUUGUUGUGCAUUUUAGUUCCAGCAAACCAAUGUGCUAUGAGAAGCCUCAGAAGUAGCUCAAGCGCACAAUCUGUCUUGGUGAUUUCUUCCACAAAAGAUUUCAUGGAGAGAUUUCCCAAGAUGUAAUUUAAUGCAAGGAAAUUCAAUCCCUCCAUUUUCGCUUCUCUCUUUUGGAAUCUGCUCUAUCUUUUUCAGUACUGAAAUGAGAUCUGCCAGAAGAGUCCCGGCUUCUGUGCUUAUGAUGUUUUGAAUGCUUUCUGCUGCUGCUCUUUUCUCGGGAGGAUCCUUUCUUUCUUCCUUUCAACCUAGAAUGGUAACGAUUUUGAUCAUCACUGUAUGAAUCACUGUACGAGUAACUGCUGCUAUACCCAUGUCUCCUUGAACUUUUCCUGGUCCUUUCACCGUCUGAUGAACUGCUGCUUCGUUUUCGAUGCUGACUAGGGAGGGAUUUAACCUUCCUAUCCUCUUGAGCUAUCUUUUCAAAACCAGUCCUGCCAGAUCUAUUAUCAGAUGGAGCAGGUUCCACAUACCUACUGCUAUCACCCUGUGGGUUACCUUGAAUGGAUUCAUUCUUUUGGGAUUCAGUCCCUUCAGCACCCUCCUGGUUAUACAGAACCUCCUUAUUUUCAACUGGCAGGUUAUUCAUAUUCCCAGCAUUGGCAAUAACAGAUUCAUUCUUGGAAGCAGAAGUUCUGGUUUUAUUCGUUGAGUAGGAAACUUCAGGGGGGACCUCUAGCCCCAGUUCUUUCCCCAAAGAUUCUAAAAAGUCACCUGCUAUCAAACGAUUUAAUGUUGUAUGAGCCACUUCAACCUUCUUCUCAGGAUCCUCCCCUUUAUUGACAGUAGGGGCUUCAAUCUCAUCAUCAGAAUCAUCGGAGAAAAUAGCCUUGUAAAGGUCAACAGGCCUCUCCACAUUUUCCACUUGCACCUCAACUUCCUUUUCCCCAUCAGCUACAUCUUUGCUUAUUUGAGAGUCAGUUUGAAGAAGAGAAACUUGAUCUCUAUUUGCAGUAACAUUUUCUUCCAAUUUCGUGGCUUUGACAGAAUCUGAUGUGAAUAUUAAGGAAUCCAUCUUGCUUCUCAUCCGUGGAGGUGGCGGUGGCUUUCCCAUAUAAGGAUCAAUUAGAUCAAAGCGCUUGCACAGAACAGGUAGAGGACGCCAUUGAAAUUCUUCCCUUUUAGGGUAAAUCUUCCUUGCCAUGAAAUCUUCAGCAUGUGCAUCUUUACCUUGCUGUUUCAGAAAUUUUAUUUCAGGAAAAUCAACCAUUAGCAAUAACCUCACAACUUGAAACUAUUCUCGAGAAAUAUUACCUCCAAUCCAGCAGAAGUAAACUGCAUCCCUCCACCAGCUGAAAACUCCAACUGUUGAGUAGAGAAUUUACUUUCCUUGUUACACUUCCCUUUCUCUAUUGCCUCAGCAGCAGCCUCGAAGUCUAAUCUCUCUUUAGCACGAGCUGCUUCUGACAUAUUGCUAGCUCCAAUAUAAUCAAUAGAACGAAGCCCUCCUUGAUACUUUUCCUUGAGAAACCUCUCAAAUCUUUCUUGCUUUGCAGGAUCAUCUUUGAAAGGUUUUUCCACCGCAGGCAACCCACCAAAAGAUGCAGGUUUUGUAAAUGUAUCUGAAAGAUUGAACUGAAGAUUAACAUCUGCAGAAACAACAGAUGAGCUGAAAUCUUUCAAGCUUCUUUCUAAAGGCCUCUCCCCUAAUAUUUUGCCACGGGUCUCUGCAGUCAUUGUCUGAACACUUGUAGAUAAUUUCCCAUCCAAAGCCAGAUUCUUCUGAUCAUUAUGUUUCUGCCGUUCCUCCCACAACUUCCUAGCAUAAUAGUCGUGACCAUUUCCUCCAUUAAGAAAACUAAAUAUUGGAUUUGAUUGAUUUUUCUCUCGGGAAAGAUCCUCAAAUAAUUUACCACAUCGAGCAACCAAAGUUGCAACCCCCUCAAUUAAGAGCUUCAUAUUAUUGUCAACAGGAGGCAGAACCUCCGGUGGAGGAGGAAUAGUGUGCUUGUCAUCAGCAUUAAGGGGACCAGGAAAUUUGUGAUGGGGCACAAAAUCCUUCGGAAUUUUGGGAGGAUCAAAUCUUUCCAAUGCAUAAUCAGAAUUUGAUGCAACUCUGAAUCCGGGAAGAACACCUUGCUCCUUCCAGGCCAAUUUUGGCUGAUGGUCUGUGCUGGGUCUUGGUGGCUCUUCAACUUCUUGGUCUUGUACAAAAGUUUCUUCAAAGUCAUAAGCAGAUGCAUAGACGUCCUCAUCUUCAGCAUCAUAUUCUUCAAGUGCUCCAAUGCCAAAGCCAGGAGCAGCCUUUCCUGACUUGAAUCCAAAAAGACCAUCUCUCAUUAAUGAAGCCUUUUUAUUCCCAGGCCCUCUGUGAUCAGAUGCACGUAAUCUUUUCUUCUCUCUGAACUCAGGAGCAUGCUUAUAUGGAUCAUAUCCUAAACCAUACAUAUCUUGUUUUGGGUUGAGAACAAAAAUAGGGGUGCUUUGAGAAGUCUGAACAUCAUUGUUAACAGACUGCUCUACGCUUCCAAGGUAAUCCUCACCAGUCUCAGACUUGGUACAAUGUGCUUUUGCAUCAUCAGAAGAAAAUGCUAGGAAAGCUUUUCUAGCUUCUCUACGAGCAUCAUACUGUGAAUUUGCAUGUAGAUCCUUGAUUGAAUGACCAUGUCUCCACCACAUCUUCAGCAGCAAUUUUACACCAAUAGACUCUGUGGCUGGAAGAACUAUUUCAUCAAGAACAGGUCCAGGAAUAGCAGAUGGCCUGCGAUGGACAUCCAAAAAGGAUCACGCCGCUAUAAAAAGAAAAUUAAAAAAAAGGAGAAAAAUUAGAGACUAAAGGAAACACAUUUACAUACACGCAGAUGAAUGUCCGUGGCUUGUCCAUUAGUUAAUCAAAAUAUUAACUGUCAGGAUGAUGUAUUUACAUCAUACAACAUAAAGAAACAAUACAAUGUAACAUUCAUUAAAUAAAGCAACAGUUAUGGAGCUCUUCUUUUUCCAGAACAAAUAGAAUACAUAUAAAUUCACCGAUUAAAGAUCUAGCUAUUUACCAUGUCAAGAAAAUAAAUUUCAUUUCACAUA